RNAcentral lists this ribosomal RNA (259 nucleotides) under uncultured bacterium. RNAcentral describes it as "partial 16S ribosomal RNA". It matches the Rfam family "Archaeal small subunit ribosomal RNA", at positions 743 to 961 of the family's 1478-position model. The record is from RNAcentral.
GCCCCUAGCUAUAAAAUUAUGCAGACUGUGGUGUUGCAGCGGCUUCGUGCCGUUGCAGUGCCGUAGCGUAGGUGUGAAGUCUGCCGCCUGGGGAGUACGGCCGCAAGGUUGAAACUUAUUAACGAGAGACAUCUUAUUUAGUCGACGUUAGGUUAAAAGGAAUUGGCGGGGGAGCACCACAAGGGGUGGAUGCUGCGGUUCAAUUGGAUACAACGCCGGGAACAUUACCCAGAGCGACGGCAGUAUGAAGGCCAGACUA